RNAcentral lists this ribosomal RNA (778 nucleotides) under uncultured bacterium. Its description in RNAcentral is "bacterial SSU rRNA". It matches the Rfam family "Bacterial small subunit ribosomal RNA", at positions 725 to 1504 of the family's 1533-position model. The record is from RNAcentral.
CCCCCUGGACAAAGACUGACGCUCAGAUGCGAAAGCGUGGGAGCAAACAGGAUUAGAUACCCUGGUAGUCACGCCGUAAACGAUGUCUACUUGAAGGUUGUGGCCUUGAGCCGUGGCUUUCGGAGCUAACGCGUUAAGUAGACCGCCUGGGGAGUACGGUCGCAAGAUUAAAACUCAAAUGAAUUGACGGGGGCCCGCACAAGCGGUGGAGCAUGUGGUUUAAUUCGAUGCAACGCGAAGAACCUUACCUACUCUUGACAUCCAGAGAAUUCGCUAGAGAUAGCUUAGUGCCUUCGGGAGCUCUGAGACAGGUGCUGCAUGGCUGUCGUCAGCUCGUGUUGUGAAAUGUUGGGUUAAGUCCCGCAACGAGCGCAACCCUUAUCCUUGUUUGCCAGCACAUAAUGGUGGGAACUCCAGGGAGACUGCCGGUGAUAAACCGGAGGAAGGUGGGGACGACGUCAAGUCAUCAUGGCCCUUACGAGUAGGGCUACACACGUGCUACAAUGGCGUAUACAGAGGGCUGCCAACCAGCGAUGGUGAGCGAAUCCCACAAAGUACGUCGUAGUCCGGAUCGGAGUCUGCAACUCGACUCCGUGAAGUCGGAAUCGCUAGUAAUCGUGAAUCAGAAUGUCACGGUGAAUACGUUCCCGGGCCUUGUACACACCGCCCGUCACACCAUGGGAGUGGGUUGCUCCAGAAGUAGAUAGCUUAACCUUCGGGAGGGCGUUUACCACGGAGUGAUUCAUGACUGGGGUGAAGUCGUAACAAGGUAGCCGUA